CCCGAGUCGAGCCCCGAGCCCAGCGGAGCCCCAAGCCCCGAGCCGAGCCCAGCCUGCUCGGCUGCGACCGUGGAGGGGUUUUCACUAAAGGAGCGGCCGCUGCACCGGGCGGAGGGUUCAGCCUCUCACACCGAAAAUGCCGGCAAAUAAACUCUCCAAUAGUCGUUUUGAGUUUUAGGAAACAAUGUCCUUUAUCAGGCCUGGGCAACACGAGGGAGCGAUCUCCAUCAAUCAUGUGUAACGAGACAAAAGCCGGUUACAGAAUGUAUUUCUCACUCACAUGCAUAUGGAUAAAUUUCCCCGGAAAUCUUAUGCAUAUUCAGUUACUUUCCAAAUUCUAAUUUUAAUGUUAUGACACUUCACAACAGGCAAAACUCUUGCUAAUUUGGAGCUGGCUCCAGCUCUCUGCCUGACCUUGGAUGUGAGAUAGGAAGAAACUCCAAACAGAGGUGAUUACAGAAGAAGAGACAUCUGCUCAGGACAGAUCAUACUUCACACAAGAUGCUAUCAUCUCUAAAGAAUGAACAGUGUCUGGAAAAUAAAACACUGUCUAAAAGAAAACAUGCUAUGAGAGAAAAAAAACACGCUAUCAGAGAGACGUUCUGUCUAACCUCCAAAAAAUCACAACUACUUAGAGCAAACUUAACUGUACUUCAACUUAAAUCAAAAUAAAAUCACUUUUUGUAAUAGUAACUACUUGUAUCAAAUCUGGCACACUCAUUUUGCCUUGGGUCUGCAGAGAAGCUGGGCUGGGCUUGGCCUUUGAGAGCUGUAGCUGUGACUGCCAGUGCAAGGGCAGUGGUAGUUCUACGACUUCUUGCACUUUCAGUGACUCCCUAUGAGGAAUAUUUGUAUGUUAAUGAUGUUCAGAGUCAGAAGAAAGGAGGAAAGGAGAUGGCAACAAAAAUCUGCAACAAAAGAUAUUGCAGCAAAAAAAUGGCAGAACUGGGAGUGGGAAACAGAAGUGGAAAGCCUGAGCAAAACAUCUUGGAGUAGUGAGUGGAGCAGAAGCAAUAGGAGGGUUUAAAAUCAGGAGAGAGUGGGGAUGGGGCAGACAGAGGGAACUGAAAUGAAAACCAAGCCUGAUGAGCAAAGGGGACUGGGAGAAGGCAGAACAAGGUGCGAGUGAAGCGUUGGAGGCAGCAGUUGAUGGAGGCAGCAGUUGAGUGGGGAGUCAGGAAAACAUUGGGAAGCAGCCGUGUGAUACAAUGCAGGGAUACAGGUUAACUGUGUUUUGUCCUCUCCUUUCUUUCCCGUGAAGUCUUGUUUCAAGCAGUGGAUAGGAUAUAACCUGGGAGGACUCAUUUGGGAGACCUGCUGACCUCUUUUGAGAGUUGGAAGGUGUUCAGAAAAGGAGGCUGGUAGGACAGUAGGGGAAGUGCAAUGUUGACCAGACCAUGGGAUUUUGCCUGGCAGGAUCAAAUUUUAUCCACUGUAGAGGCUUUAUACAAUGAUGCAGAAGGUCUGAAAGAUUUUCUACACAAAACUCUGAGUGAUGGACUAUUCAGCUCUACUUAGAUUAUUCAGAACAUAUCUGUAAAAUGCAUGAAAUACAGAACUCUGAAGACCAUUACAAAGCCUUCCUGGACAUCACCAAGACAGUAUUUUUCAGAUAAUAAUUAUGGACUUUGUCAUCUCUUCUUACCUGGUAGCCUUCCUACUGGGCACUGAGCGAGUAUUACAAGAAGUAUUACAUGCCUUCCCUGUUUUCAGGCCCUCUGCAAGGUGUUUCCUCUUGACAAGCUGGGACACUGGACUUUGCAUUGGCUACAUUCAGUGUAUAAUAUGCUGUGUGAUUUGCCUGUUGUGCUGUCUCCUUCCAUUUGCAUCAUCACUGUUCAGGUAACAAGGCUGCACAGCCUCAUGAGGCUGCAAGAUAUCCUCAGGAUUUGUAAGACAUCUCAUGGGAAAUCCACAAAGCAGAGUUUAGAGGCAGAAGGACUGACUGUUCAGAUGACAGUAGUACAACUACCAUCCAACAACAAAUUCCUUCCACUUACCAACAAAACUAAUUGUACCUUCAAUCAUACACCUUCUUACAUCUGAUAUAACUAAAUAUAUUAAAUUACAUCACAUCAUUAAUCAGUACUUGUAUAUAUCAGUUGCUACAGUAAUUAAAUACUUCACAGAUACAGGGAAAGACUACACCAGUUCUAGCACUUGUAGUGGUGUAACUGCAUUGGUAGUAAGGAUGCUAUAUCACCUUCAUAUUUCAAAACUGGAAAAGCAGUAAAGUAAAAAUGUUGCAGUGCAAACUGUUUAGCAGCAACCAUGUACUGAAUGUUUAAAUGUUGAAUUGUGAAUUGCAAAACAUUUUGAGUAUUAUUAUACUCCUUUUCUUAAAGAAACAAUACUACUUUUCAAGUGAAAUGCAGAGAAUACUUUUGCAUAAGAACAAGAUAGUUGUUUUUUUAUAAUAUCCAAGCCUGGUAUCCUGCAGCCCCCAGGACAAGCCACCAGCAGCGAUAAAUUCCACCUGUUUGUCGGCUGUUGCAAGAGAUUUCACACAACCACGGAGUGGUCACAAUUGGAAAGGACAUCUGGAGAUCAUCUAGUCCAACUCUCUGCUAAAGCAGUUUUACCUACAGCAGGUUGCACAGGAAUAUGUUCAGGAAGGGAUAUGUAGACCUGAACACCAUACGUGAGAAUCUCUAAUCUCUGUAAUUUAUCUGUCAGAAGAAUGGAUUCAGCUGAAGAGUCUGGAUGACUUUCUGCAGUGUGUGCAAUGGUUCUGGCUGUUCCAAAUGUCAAUUAUAAUGAUCUUUGUACCUGAGGUUUUUCUGCCUGGUGUUCUGUACCUUUUCAGUCUUUUGUUUCACAUUUACAAGAAAAAGGAUGGCUUAAAGGACAUUAGUCCAAUGAAGUGUGGGAGAAAAGGCAGCAAAUGGUGACAUAUCUGUGGAAAAUCGUGGCAUAGUAAGUGCUUGAAUAUAGUCUAAUAAAGUGGAGAAAUGGAGGAAAUAUCAAUUCUCCAGUUGCAGAUGUACACAGAGGGAUAUACAGUUGGGCUUAAGCUUCAGAGAGCCUAUGGUACACUAGAAAGGUAUUUGCCAAUAUAUAAAUGGCCAUAUACUCAAAUAAUAUUAAUGGCUUGCAGAACUAGAGGUAUCUCAGUUUUAUCUCCUUGUCACUUUUUUUCAUAACAGCUCGAGCCCACUAAGCAAAUGCAAAUUAUAAGGUCAAGUAGUUUGACAUAUGAUUUUGUGACCAUCUGUGAGAGAUUUUUUUUUUUUUUCCUGUGUCAGAGUCCCCUUUGACACUUAGAUAGGAGUGAUCUGGCACACAAAAAAGUAAUUUUAUGUGGCAACACUGUCUUAGUAAGAAGUAAACUCUUUUAUAGUCCCCCAAAACUUUCAUUCUUAAUUCUUAUUCAGCACAUAACAUUUUUUUCACUUUUAUUUUGAAAUACAAGAGGCCAUCAAUGUUUUCUUUAAAUGAUUGAUGAGCCAAACAAAUGUUUAGAAGGACACAAAGCAAGCAUGCUAUCCAGGCCUGUCAUUUAGGCCUUUUACUUAUAUAUGGUGCGUUUUUGAUCUCCUAUUUACCUUUUCAAAGAAUCUUAAGUCUUUAAGACUUUAAGAUCUUAAGUCCCAGCUUUCUAGUAAUGGACAGCAUCUUCUAAGUAUGCUGUAGUUGUACUCAGAUUGUGUUGUUAGACAAAUCUGUGGGAGAUGUAGGUUCUUGUAAUCAUUGUGGUUGCCUUAGUUGUUAUGUUUUUUCAGCAUUUGAAAUUACAGUGAAACAAUAGCACUGUUAAACAAGAAUUACUUAACUUUCACAGAAGCAAAGCAAAAGUGUUUAAGAGAAAGUCUACUGGAAAACAAAAAAAAAAAGGAUGCUUUUGUCACAGCUCCAUAUCCUUUGAUUCCAGGGCAGAAUAUAAAUUUUAAUGGUUCUUACUUUUAUAGAGUGAAGGGCUCAGUGGGUGGUGGUUUUUUUUUUUUUUGGUUUGUUGUUGGGUUUUUUUUCCUUUCAUUUGGUUUGGUUUUAUGUGUGUGUGUGGUGUUAGUGGGGUUGUGGUAUCUUUUCUUUUUCUGUAUAAACCAGGUCAAAUAAGCUUAUGUGACAUUUUACUAGAGUGGAGAAACUGCCACAGAACAGAUAAAUGGUUUGUUGCACUUCUGGAGAGUGCCAUUUGUUCUUGCUGGUACCUUUAAUUCCUUCAUAAAACAUCUUCUAGCUCAUGCUUGGAGUCAAAAGCCAGAAAGAAUAGAAAGAUAACAGGUAACUUUUAUAAUGCUUGUGCCCUGCGUUUGAUUGUCUGUGGUUCCAUAUGUCUUCACAGCCUAAAUGAGUAUUAUCAGUGCCUGCUGUCUUCAAAGCACCUUUGAAUCCUGUGGGACCCAUAAUUAAUUGGAACAGUACCUGUUUGGUCUUGCCAGUUAUCUGCCACUGUCAGUCUUUGGUUUAACGUUUUAUAUUCCUCUUUUUGUAUGGUAGUACAUUCAGUCAAAUUUUAUCUGGCUACAUAGUCCUAGAUAAUGGACCAGGCCAUUUAUUUUACAAGCUGCCACUAUUCAUUUACACUUUUGGAAGUACUGCUGAUAUAGUUUAAGCCAGAAAAGACCACAUCCUGAGAUUAUGAACACAUUUGGUAUAGCUGCAAAAAUUGAUUUAAAGAUGUGUCGAUUUAAUUCUUUGUUAUUGUAAAGAAUUUUUCCUCUUUGAAUUGGGCUAGUUUUUACAGGUGAAGCCUUUUGUGACUGUUCUGAUAAGGAAGUUUUAUAGUGCUUUAUUACAGCUCUGUUUUGCAGUAUAGCUCUGAAAAUAAUAACUUUAUGCUUUACUGUUGCUUAUGCAUUUUGGCCUGCAAGUUCAUCGGGCUUUCAGCCUUGUAUAAGAGCCCUAGUCAUAGACCUGUUAUAUUCAAUAGUAUGUACACACUGAGUAAAAAGAUUGUUUCUAAUCUAAAGAGUGAGUUGCAAAUUUGCAUAAAGAAUGCAAGACUUCUGUGGAGAUUUAUUAUGCUUUCAGGCCAAAAAGUGAUGUCAAAGAAGGACAAGUCAAAGGACAUGGCCAUAGGAUAGAGGUUAUAGAAGCAAUUAAUUUUUCACCUCACCAACCACUGCUGACCACAAAACAAGAUCCUACUGGUUGAAGUAACUGCAGGGUAACAAAAAUUUAUCUAAUGGAUCUAGCCUUCCAGAAUCAGGGUGGCAAAUUAGGCACAUGCCCUUGCCUGUCUGUAGUAAAACGGUUUAGUUUUAGUGCUUCUGCAAUAAAAGGGUCUUCCAUGUAGGGGUUUUCCACUGGCACUACACUUGCUUCUGCCAAGGUCCUGACCUGCAGGUGGAAGGAUGCCUUUGCUUACAAUUUAACAUCUGAAGCUGGAGAAAGUUGUAGCAGUAAUAGGCUGGCCACUUCGUAGAGCUUCUUUUUAAGCAAAAACUUUAA
Cuculus canorus (common cuckoo) is the source of this 5394-nucleotide long non-coding RNA. RefSeq lists it as uncharacterized. The record is from RefSeq and is a predicted model, not a curated record. The transcript has 3 exons. Lineage: Eukaryota; Metazoa; Chordata; Aves; Cuculiformes; Cuculidae.